RNAcentral lists this transfer RNA (71 nucleotides) under Marmota monax (woodchuck). RNAcentral's name for it is "tRNA.Ala". It matches the Rfam family "tRNA". Rfam says of the family: Transfer RNA (tRNA) molecules are approximately 80 nucleotides in length. The record is from RNAcentral. Lineage: Eukaryota; Metazoa; Chordata; Mammalia; Rodentia; Sciuridae.
GGGGCUGUGGCUCAGCGGUAGAGCACUCACCUAGCAUGUGCGAGUCCCUGGGUUUGAUCCUCAGCACCACA